GUCCACGCCGUAAACGAUGUGUGCUUGUCGCUGGGGGUUUACCUCUCGGUGACGGAGCUAACGCAUUAAGCACACCGCCUGGGAAGUACGGUCGCAAGAUUAAAACUCAAAGGAAUUGACGGGGACCCGCACAAGCGGUGGAGUAUGUGGUUUAAUUCGUCGCAACGCGAAGAACCUUACCAGGCCUUGACAUACCGAUUAAGGGAUUCAGAGAUGAGUCCUGUCAGUUCGGCUGGAUCGGAUACAGGUGAUGCAUGGCUGUCGU
This 265-nucleotide ribosomal RNA is filed under the name uncultured bacterium. Its description in RNAcentral is "partial 16S ribosomal RNA". It matches the Rfam family "Bacterial small subunit ribosomal RNA", at positions 793 to 1055 of the family's 1533-position model. The record is from RNAcentral.